AACGAACGCUGGCGGCGUGCUUAACACAUGCAAGUCGAACGAGAAAGUCCCUUCGGGGGCGAGUACAGUGGCGAACGGGUGAGUAACACGUGGGUAAUCUACCUUCGAGAGUGGGAUAACCUGCCGAAAGGCGGGCUAAUACCGCAUAACACGGCCGGUUCACAUGGGCUGGCCGUCAAAAGAUGGCCUCUGCUUGCAAGCUAUCGCUCGGAGAUGAGCCCGCGUCCCAUUAGCUAGUUGGCGGGAUAAUAGCCCACCAAGGCGACGAUGGGUAGCCGACCUGAGAGGGUGAUCGGCCACACUGGGACUGAGACACGGCCCAGACUCCUACGGGUGGCAG
This 340-nucleotide ribosomal RNA is filed under the name uncultured Candidatus Sumerlaeota bacterium. Its description in RNAcentral is "bacterial SSU rRNA". It matches the Rfam family "Bacterial small subunit ribosomal RNA", at positions 29 to 351 of the family's 1533-position model. The record is from RNAcentral. Lineage: Bacteria; Candidatus Sumerlaeota.